This is a long non-coding RNA of Sus scrofa (pig), 846 nucleotides long. RefSeq lists it as uncharacterized. Lineage: Eukaryota; Metazoa; Chordata; Mammalia; Artiodactyla; Suidae. The record is from RefSeq and is a predicted model, not a curated record.
UAUGCCGCGGGUUUGGCCCUAAAAAACCAAACAGACAAAAAACAAACAAAAAAAGAAGUGAAAACAAAAAGUAUUACUCAGCAAGUGGUACCUACAAACACAUCAGAGCUGGUCUGUAAAGAAGCCACCACAGCUCAGCUCCACAGUAUCACCAAACUCGGCUCAGCGCCCUCAAGUCACAGGCACACGCCGACCCCCCCAUGUCACCCCAGGCCUCUGAAGUUGAUCUCCAGCCACGGCUGAAAUGGAAGCCACGACGCGCUCCUUCAUCUCUCGAGACUUUGAGGAGUUCCCGCUCUGGCGCAGUGGGAAGGAGAUCUGGACCCGGACACAGACGCACGCGGGCCGAGCGCCGUGUGAUGAUGGAGGCAGAGACUGGAGCUAUGCUUCUAGAAGCCCAGGUGCCCCCAGCAUCUGCCCUUGGAGCUUCAGCUUCCACCUGUACCACGGGAACCGCUGGCCUAGAGCCACCGCAGCUCACCCGAAGAUCUGCCCAGAAGGUUAAGAAUCCGCUUUGAAGAAAGAACCUCCUACUUCACUGCCAAGAAUGGAAACAUUGCAUAGGGGCGGCCCCCAACUUCCAGCAGAACCCCCGCUCUGGUGAGGUGCGACGCUCCAGGCUCAGUGUGCUGCUAGGUUGGGAUUUUGCUGAACCUCAGUGCGAUGCUGAACCAUGGGGGUGGGGAGGACACGUCUGUAUUUUUAUUGCCAACCCCCCCACUAUAAAACUCAAGGGAGUUCUUGUGCCUCAGCAGGUUAAAAACCCGACAUAGUGUCCAUGAGGAUGCAGGUUCAAUCCCUGGUCUCUCUUCACGGGUUGGGGAUCCAGCGUUGCUUCAGGCUGAA